UACGGAAGGGGCUAGCGAUGUUCGGAAUUACUGGGCGUAAAGCGCACGUAGGCGGCCUUGUAAGUUGGGGGUGAAAUCCCGGAGCUCAACUCCUGAACUGCCUUCAAGACUGCAAAGCUCGAGGACGCGAGAGGUUAGCGGAAUUCCGAGUGUAGAGGUGAAAUUCGUAGAUAUUCGGAAGAACACUAGUGGCGAAGGCGGCUAACUGACGCGUUUCUGACGCUGAGGUGCGAAAGCGUGGGGAGCAAACAGG
RNAcentral lists this ribosomal RNA (253 nucleotides) under uncultured bacterium. RNAcentral's name for it is "partial 16S ribosomal RNA". It matches the Rfam family "Bacterial small subunit ribosomal RNA", at positions 524 to 776 of the family's 1533-position model. The record is from RNAcentral.